Molecule: long non-coding RNA, 1181 nt
Organism: Bombyx mori (domestic silkworm)
Lineage: Eukaryota; Metazoa; Arthropoda; Insecta; Lepidoptera; Bombycidae
Exons: 2
Source: RefSeq, a predicted model, not a curated record
UAGCUCAUAAACUACAGAAAUAAUAAGUGGUGCAUAUAUAUUGUAUAGCUACAAAUAUUUUACGGUAUCGACCUUUUGAACAACUAACUUGUUCUUUACCGGCAGUUAAUACACGAGAACGAUUUUGAAAAAACUAAAAUUGAAACAAAUACAUAACAAUACUGAAUAGAGAGAAAGAGAUACAGAGAUUGAUUGCACUCCAAAGCAUAGUUAACAUUGUGAAUAAAUCAACAGAUAUAGCUUGUUAAAUAAGGUGGUCAAACCGCUCACAGCAAUAUACUCCACAGUUAAGUAAAUUCCGAUAAAAAUACGGCAAUUAUGUUGCGAUGUACUACUUACUAUUUUUAACAAUAUUCAGAGAGUUGAUCUACCCCGGGUCGGCGACGACGACAAAUUAAGGACAGUAACGGGACUGUGUAUCAAGUGGGGAAGACCAUGGGUAGCUGGUCGGCUGUCUCGCUUAGCGUCGUAUGACAGAUGAUUAUCUACGGUUCACGUCAAAGUGAAUAAUUGGACUUUAGAGGCUGUGUUUGAAAAGAGGGUAGUUUGUUAUGAAAGUUGUAGAUGCUUAUAAAUAUGGAUAAAGCUGUCUCAUGCUUUAACUACCACUAUUAUAAUGUUUUUCUGAAGUAUUAUUUUUAUUACAGAUAGAGGAAAUGUAUUUUCUCUUUGUUACUAUAUUUUUUUAUUAACGGAAUAUAUGUAAAAUCGUUAUUAAAGGUUAAAAAAUAAUCGUGCAUGUUUUUCAGAUAAUUAUAAAUAAAACGAUCGCUGUGAUUAUAGCUCUGAAAAAUACCUAUUUGGUUAAAUUGCUCGUAGUGCUUGCUUCAAGCUCCAUGUCGUACAUUGUAAAAACUUUGAUAAAACUUUCCUUACAGUGCCAAAAAUGAAUAGUGUAGGAAUAUAAUAUAAUAUCGCAGCUUAACUUACUGAAAUUAGAAGUCACUAUCGGACAGUUAAAAAGUUUGUUUAAAUUUAAAACUGUUAUUUUAUGUAUCCAAUUCUAAAUCAUUUUAAAAAUAAAACAUCUAUUCAGUCUGGCCACAAAUACAGUCAUAAUAAAAAACAAAAAUUGUUGUAUUUGAAUUUGGAAUUCUCAUAUGAAUAUUCAUUGUGUUUUCUCAUUUUCGCGCCAAUCUUUGUUAAAUAUUCUUGUGAUAAUAAAGUGCUGUGGGAUGAAA